AGGUAAGAUUUAUACCCAGCAUGGGAUGGGGAGUGAGAAGCAGGUCUGAGCAGCGGAGGACAAGGAGAACAGCAGGCAACUACUCAACUCUCUGUAGACAAGCUACAGUUUGUCUUCGUUAGGAAAAUUGGGGCCGCCGAGCAUAAAGCACACAUAUUCAAAGCUGUUGUGUAGAAUCCACAUGAAGACCAAGCUGCAUAUCUGCUACAUAUGUGCAGGGAGGCCCAGGUCCAGCCCUGUAUGUUCUUCGGUUGGUGGUUCAGACUCUGAGGGCCCCAAGGGUCCAGACAGCCUGGACUGGAGGCUUAGAAGAGACACCUGAAGGAAACCAUCAUCCCAGCCACAAGGAUUUCAGCCCUGACCAUCAUAGGUCUGCUAAACUUUGGACAGCUUCUGGCAAUAGAGCAUUAGAGAUGCCAGAUAAGACCAAGAUCAGCAGCUCAGGUCUCCACAGCGGAAUCCCCAAAUGCCCUUUGGCUAAUGAAAACUAGCCAAUGGCCAUUGGGUUUUAAGCUACUUCUUUGUGGAGUGGCAAGUUAACAAAGUGAUACCUAGUACUAAAUACCUCUUUGGGAGGCAAUUUCUCUUUUGGCUCUGUAUAUUAUAUGUUAGAUAUUUGAAGCAUGUGAGUUGUUCAGAUUCUGGGCUGUAACUCAACAAUUUGGCUUCUCUUAGAUAAUUAUAUACAUAUAACUGGCAUGCCACGUGGAAUUCACAUUUAGAGAUCUAAUUUCUAAUCCAAAAUAGCAUAAAAACUGGUAAAAAAAAAAUUCACUUUAGAAUUAAUGGUCACAGCACACACACCAAGAUCACCCUAAAGGAACAUUAUUACCAUAAUGUUUUAAAAAAAAAAAGAAAAAAAAUGAACUUCAAAGGAACUGCUAUUAUUUCCAGCAUAACAAAGGAAGUCGAUGGCAGAGACUAUCCUUUGAUGACUGUUUUCUCUGUUCAGAAAUAGCCUCCAGCUGCUAUCCUGCCCAAACCGGCAGAGACAGCAAACGUGAGCCAAGCUCAGGGCAGGGAGAAGAGAGCUGGCUUUGCAGGACCUGACACUGUGUGGGUAGAGGAACAUCUAGUUGUUGGUGACUAUCACUGAGAUCGCCAACACACUGCACUGUUUGCCACUAGAAGGCUGAACCUAAAACUUUGCCUGUGUAAAAUUCUCAUCAGAGGCCUGGCCUCCAGAGACAGCCAUUGUGUGAAGCCUGUUGUAGAUGACAUUGGCAGUGUCCAUGUGGCGGGGCCCAUCCUGCUCUGUAGACUCUAAUUCAGACCUGAAGCAUAACUAUGCUGUUUAUUGUUAUUAAUUUUUGUCAUGUUUUUGUCAACAUGAUGGAAAGAAGGAGUUUUUUUUUUUUUUUUUUUGUCAUUCUAUUUUUUUCCUGGCUUUUACGUAGGACAUUUUGAUAUGGUUCUUCUCAAACGAAAGACAAUAAACUAAAUUAACAAG
This 1450-nucleotide long non-coding RNA is filed under the name Mus musculus (house mouse). RNAcentral's name for it is "predicted gene, 36594". Lineage: Eukaryota; Metazoa; Chordata; Mammalia; Rodentia; Muridae. The record is from RNAcentral.